GCCAGAUUGGUGUCUUGACUGGCCCAAUCUGCAUAAAGGCCAGAGCGAUGGAACAGAAGCAGAGAUCCCCAGGGUCAACAUGGGUUAGCCCUAAAAGACAUUCAGAGCUGACAGAUUACUACAACUCUGCUAUGUUUGGGGAGUGUUCGGCUGGGAAGUGCAGAGAGUCCCUUGAGGAGUAAUUAGCCUGAGGAAGGCCAACAGGUUCUUGAACUGCACAGCGCUACACACCUUUCAUGGAGAGAAGGGAAAGAAAGCUUAUCUACCCUUCCACAUUGCCGCCAUUGUUUUUCCCCAGCUCCUGCUCUUUGCAGUGUUUCAUCUCCCAUCCUGCUCUAAC
This is a long non-coding RNA of Mauremys reevesii (Reeves's turtle), 340 nucleotides long. RefSeq lists it as uncharacterized. The transcript is spliced from 3 exons. The record is from RefSeq and is a predicted model, not a curated record. NCBI's taxonomy places the organism in Eukaryota, Metazoa, Chordata, Testudines, Geoemydidae.